RNAcentral lists this unclassified non-coding RNA (200 nucleotides) under Leptodontidium sp. Its description in RNAcentral is "partial internal transcribed spacer 2". Lineage: Eukaryota; Fungi; Ascomycota; Leotiomycetes; Helotiales; Leptodontidiaceae. The record is from RNAcentral.
UUAAGUUCAGCGGGUAUCCCUACCUGAUCCGAGGUCAACCAUAGAAAAUUGGGGGUUAAUGGCAAGCAUCCACCGGGACUCUAUAGCGAGAAGAAUUACUACGCUUAGAGCCAGACGGCACCGCCACUGAUUUUAGGGCCCGCCGGGGCGGCGGGGCCCAACACCAAGCAGAGCUUGAGGGUUGUAAUGACGCUCGAACA